UGGGGAAUCUUGCACAAUGGGGGCGACCCUGAUGCAGCGACGCCGCGUGAGCGAUGAAGCCCUUCGGGGCGUAAAGCUCUUUCGACCGGAACGAUAAUGACGGUACCGGGAGAAGAAGCUGCGGCUAACUACGUGCCAGCAGCCGCGGUAAUACGUAGGCAGCAAGCGUUGUUCGGAGUUACUGGGCGUAAAGAGUGCGUAGGCGGUUUUCUAAGUUCGGUGUGAAAUCUCCCGGCUUAACUGGGAGGGUGCGCCGAAGACUGGGAAGCUGGACUGUGGGAAAGGCAGGCGGAAUUCCUGGUGUAGCGAUGAAAUGCGUAGAUAUCAGGAGGAACACCGGCGGUGUAGACGGCUUGCUAGACCAUAACUGACGCUGAGGCACGAAAGCGUGGGUAGCAAAC
This 401-nucleotide ribosomal RNA is filed under the name uncultured bacterium. Its description in RNAcentral is "bacterial SSU rRNA". It matches the Rfam family "Bacterial small subunit ribosomal RNA", at positions 355 to 773 of the family's 1533-position model. The record is from RNAcentral.